AAGAGCUCAGAUUUGAAAUCGUGCUUUGCGGCACGAGUUGUAGAUUGCAGGUUGGAGUCUGUGUGGAAGGCGGUGUCCAAGUCCCUUGGAACAGGGCGCCCAGGAGGGUGAGAGCCCCGUGGGAUGCCGGCGGAAGCAGUGAGGCCCUUCUGACGAGUCGAGUUGUUUGGGAAUGCAGCUCCAAGCGGGUGGUAAAUUCCAUCUAAGGCUAAAUACUGGCGAGAGACCGAUAGCGAACAAGUACUGUGAAGGAAAGAUGAAAAGCACUUUGAAAAGAGAGUGAAACAGCACGUGAAAUUGUUGAAAGGGAAGGGUAUUGCGCCCGACAUGGGGAUUGCGCACCGCUGCCUCUCGUGGGCGGCGCUCUGGGCUUUCCCUGGGCCAGCAUCGGUUCUUGCUGCAGGAGAAGGGGUUCUGGAACGUGGCUCUUCGGAGUGUUAUAGCCAGGGCCAGAUGCUGCGUGCGGGGACCGAGGACUGCGGCCGUGUAGGUCACGGAUGCUGGCAGAACGGCGCGACACCGCCCGUCUUGAAACACGGACC
This 542-nucleotide ribosomal RNA is filed under the name Pichia kudriavzevii. RNAcentral describes it as "eukaryotic LSU rRNA". It matches the Rfam family "Eukaryotic large subunit ribosomal RNA", at positions 103 to 667 of the family's 3401-position model. Lineage: Eukaryota; Fungi; Ascomycota; Pichiomycetes; Pichiales; Pichiaceae. The record is from RNAcentral.